UGGGGAAUAUUGCACAAUGGAGGGAACUCUGAUGCAGCGACGCCGCGUGAACGAAGAAGGCUUUCGAGUCGUAAAGUUCUUUUAUAUGGGAAGAUAAUGACGGUACCAUAAGAAAAAGCCCCGGCUAACUACGUGCCAGCAGCCGCGGUAAUACGUAGGGGGCAAGCGUUGUCCGGAAUCACUGGGCGUAAAGGGUUCGCAGGCGGAAAUGCAAGUCAGGUGUAAAAGGCAGUAGCUUAACUACUGUAAGCAUUUGAAACUGCAUAUCUUGAGAAGAGUAGAGGUAAGUGGAAUUUUUAGUGUAGCGGUGAAAUGCGUAGAUAUUAAAAAGAAUACCGGUGGCGAAGGCGGCUUACUGGGCUCAUUCUGACGCUGAGGAACGAAAGCGUGGGUAGCAAACAGG
This 403-nucleotide ribosomal RNA is filed under the name bacterium. RNAcentral's name for it is "partial 16S ribosomal RNA". It matches the Rfam family "Bacterial small subunit ribosomal RNA", at positions 355 to 776 of the family's 1533-position model. The record is from RNAcentral.